UGAAUACGAGACGCUAAGGCGUCGAAGUAGUGUAUGUCAUACUUCCAAGAAAAGCUUGCACUGUCAUAGAUAAAAAACGCCUGUACCAUAACCGACACAGGUGGGUAGGUAGAGUAUACUAAGGGGCGCGAGAUAACUCUCUCUAAGGAACUCGGCAAAAUAACUCCGUAACUUCGGGAGAAGGAGUGCCUUAUUCGUAAGGUUGCAAUAACAAGAUCCAAGCAACUGUUUAUCAAAAACACAGGUCUCCGCUAAGUCGUAAGGCGAUGUAUGGGGGCUGACGCCUGCCCAGUGCCAGAAGGUUAAAGAAGUUGGUUAGCAAUUGCGAAGCUGAUAACUGAAGCCCUGGUGAACGGCGGCCGUAACAAUAACGGUCCUAAGGUAGCGAAAUUCCUUGUCGGGUAAGUUCCGACCCGCACGAAAGGCGUAAUGAUUUGGAUACUGUCUCGGAGAGGGGCUCGGUGAAAUAGACUUGUCUGUGAAGAUGCGGACUACCUGCACCAGGACAGAAAGACCCUAUGAAGCUUUACUGUAACUUGAAAUUGAAAUUGGACUUUAUUCGCGCAGCAUAGGUGGGAGGCGUUGAUUAUAAUCUUGCGGGAUUAUUGGAGCCAUCAGUGAGAUACCACUCUUGUAAUGUUAGAUUUCUAACUUUGAAUCAUUAUCUGGUCAAAGAACAGUUUCAGGCGGGCAGUUUGACUGGGGCGGUCGCCUCCUAAACGGUAACGGAGGCGUACAAAGGUUUCCUCUGAACGGUUAGAAAUCGUAUCUAGAGUGUAAAGGCAUAAGGAAGCUUGACUGUGAGACCUACAAGUCGAGCAGGGACGAAAGUCGGUCUUAGUGAUCUGACGGUACUGAGUGGAAAGGCCGUCACUCAACGGAUAAAAGUUACUCUAAGGAUAACAGGCUGAUCUCCCCCAAGAGUUCACAUCUACGGGGAGGUUUGGCACCUCGAUGUCGGCUCAUCGCAUCCUGGGGCGGUAGUACGUCCCAAGGGUUGGGCUGUUCGCCCAUGAAAGCGGUACGCGAGCUGGGUUCAGAACGUCGUGAGACAGUUCGGUCCAUAUCCGGUGUAGGCGUUAGAAUAUUGAGAGGAGCCUUCUUUAGUACGAGAGGACCGAGAAGGACAUACCUCUGGUGUACCAGUUAUCGUGCCAACGGUAAACGCUGGGUAGCUAUGUAUGGAGUGGAUAACCGCUGAAAGCAUCUAAGUGGGAAGCCCACCUCAAGAUAAGUAUUCUCAC
This 1244-nucleotide ribosomal RNA is filed under the name metagenome. Its description in RNAcentral is "bacterial LSU rRNA". It matches the Rfam family "Bacterial large subunit ribosomal RNA", at positions 1564 to 2817 of the family's 2925-position model. The record is from RNAcentral.